This 107-nucleotide small nuclear RNA is filed under the name Ochotona princeps (American pika). Lineage: Eukaryota; Metazoa; Chordata; Mammalia; Lagomorpha; Ochotonidae. The record is from RNAcentral.
GUGCUCACUUUGGCAGCAUAUUUACUAAAAUUGGAAUGAUACAGAGGAGAUUAGCAUGGCCCCUGUGCAAGGAUGACAUGCGAAUUCAUGAAGCCUUCCGUAUUUUU